UCGGGGAUGGUGUAAUUGGCAACACAAUGGGUUCUGGUCCCAUCGUUGAGGGUUCAAGUCCUUCUCCCCGAGC
RNAcentral lists this transfer RNA (73 nucleotides) under Actinomycetota bacterium. RNAcentral describes it as "tRNA-Gln". It matches the Rfam family "tRNA". Rfam says of the family: Transfer RNA (tRNA) molecules are approximately 80 nucleotides in length. Lineage: Bacteria; Bacillati; Actinomycetota. The record is from RNAcentral.